Molecule: long non-coding RNA, 1127 nt
Organism: Grus americana (Whooping crane)
Lineage: Eukaryota; Metazoa; Chordata; Aves; Gruiformes; Gruidae
Exons: 2
Source: RefSeq, a predicted model, not a curated record
GUGAAGCAGGCUGUCCCCCUGCAGCCCGUGGAGGAAGGAUGAGGGUGUGUAGAGAUUCCACCUGCAGCCCGUGGAGGACCCCACAAGGGAGCAGGUGGAGGCACCUGAAGGAGGCUGUGGCCUGUGGGAAGCCCACGCUGGAGCAAGUUCCUGGCAGGACCUGUGGACCUGUGGAGAGAGGAGCCCACGCCAGGGCAGGUUUGCUGGCAGGACUUGUGACCCCGUGGGGGACCCACGCUGGAGCAGUCUGCUCCUGAAGGUCUGCACCCCAUGGGAGAGACUCACGUUGGAGAAGUUGGUGAAGGACUGUCUCCCAUGAGAGGGACCCUAUGCUGGAGCAGGGGAAUGAUGAGAGGAGUCCUCCCCCUGAGGAGGAAGGAGCGGCAGAGACACCGUAUUUUGUGAUGAUUUUGAAGCUGAAUGCCACAGGAUUACAACGUUGACCUCUACAAGCUAACACACAAGCAACUUCUUUUGACUAUUCAACCUUGAGAGUCUACAAUCACAUUAAGAGUUCCCAAAUGCAAUACAAAGAUGCAAAGAACCUGGAGGAUUAUUUUAUUUUUUUUACAUCUCUGUCUGAACUGAUAUUAUUUUUAAUGCUUUACCAAACACCAGAACAAAAAUUCAGACUUUGUAAUGGUGAUUUUGAAAUCAGAUGAGAUUCUGUUCUGAACAGGAAGCUCUUUACAGGGAUACAUAUUCACCUCUUGUAUUAAGUCAAGGCCAGAGAACAUCUUUUGCAUUGUUUAAGCCACCCAAGCCAUAAGGAAGACUCUUAGCUUUGAAUUUAUGAGCCCCAUUAACUUCCCCAGGAAAAGUCCCCUCUCUUACUAAAUCAUUCCCUGGGAGGGGAUGACUUCACAAAGCCUCCUUGGAGGAGUAAGAAUACAACAUUGCUUUGUAGGGUUCCUGAUAAAAAUUAAUUAGCAAAACUUACUGUGUAAAUUCAAGAAUAUGCAAAUGCAAACAAAUCUGAAGGCAUGUGUGCAGAGUUGAUGCUGAAUUAAUGUUAUAUUAUGCAUAAAAUGUAUAAAUAGCUUACCUGUUUAAUGAAAUAUUAAAUGUUUUGUGAGGUAAUUGGGUAUAAUAAUGCUUCCAUUAAAUAUACAUACAUAGAUACAAAA